AGUUAUAUAGUUUAUUAAAAUAUUAAUUUUGUAAAUUAAUGAUAAAAUUUUAUUUUUAUAACUU
RNAcentral lists this transfer RNA (64 nucleotides) under Microplitis manilae. Its description in RNAcentral is "tRNA-Thr". The record is from RNAcentral. Lineage: Eukaryota; Metazoa; Arthropoda; Insecta; Hymenoptera; Braconidae.